Long non-coding RNA from Lates calcarifer (barramundi perch), 461 nucleotides. RefSeq lists it as uncharacterized. The transcript has 3 exons. The record is from RefSeq and is a predicted model, not a curated record. NCBI's taxonomy places the organism in Eukaryota, Metazoa, Chordata, Actinopteri, Centropomidae.
GGACACUAUUUUGGUCUCUGGAUACGCAUCUCUAUCUUAGUGAGGGGAAACUAGCACAGUAUAUAAAACCCCAUCACCCCAAGUUGUUGUGAUCAUGUGUCAGUGUGUUUAGUGUGUAAUGCACACACAGUUAAAGCUACUGCGCAGGGAAAGGGAUUACCACAAGCUCAAGCUCCAACUCAGAUCACAGGAAUACUCAAGCAGGGGUCGUGGGUCAGACUGGGUUUGAGUGCAAAGUCUUGUCUGACCCUGAAUGCUGAUGUUUGCAAAAGACUGCCCUAACUUACAUCAAAGAGAGGAGCCUUCAAAGCCUCAUAUUCCUUUUAAUUCCACUCUGCGUCUUCUCUCUGUUUUCCCUUCAUGCCGCCACCUCUUUCCUGGGAGCGAAGGAAACAAGUGCACAAGAUUCCAGAGGCUAAUUCUGCUUCUUAGGAGGAGGGAACCUAAUAUGUGAGGACAAC